ACUUAAAUAGCUUAUAUUUAGAGUAUAACAUUGAAGCUGUUAUGGAAAUUAUUUAAUUUUUAAGUA
This 66-nucleotide transfer RNA is filed under the name Lonchoptera multiseta. Its description in RNAcentral is "tRNA-Phe". Lineage: Eukaryota; Metazoa; Arthropoda; Insecta; Diptera; Lonchopteridae. The record is from RNAcentral.